UCGACGCGUCGCGACUGGCGCGUCCCGGAGCUGCUUCGGCAGGCCGCGGGAGGGUGGAGAACCACCGGGGAGCGACGAGCUGUGCAGACGACGGGUCGUUCGCCUGGGCCCCGGGU
This 116-nucleotide non-coding RNA is filed under the name Cellulosimicrobium sp. CUA-896. RNAcentral describes it as "ZMP/ZTP riboswitch aptamer (pfl RNA motif)". It matches the Rfam family "ZMP/ZTP riboswitch aptamer (pfl RNA motif)". From Rfam's summary of the family: Previously known as pfl RNA. ZMP is also known as AICAR. The record is from Rfam by way of RNAcentral. Lineage: Bacteria; Bacillati; Actinomycetota; Actinomycetes; Micrococcales; Promicromonosporaceae. RNAcentral also lists the same sequence under 1 other name.